ACAUAUGCUCUUUACCCGAUCUCCUUCUCGCAGCGGCGGCUGAAUCCUUCUCCAGCGGUGGCGGAAUCCUUCUCCUGCAGCGGCGCAGGUCUCGCUCGGUGUAGUUGGAGACACUCGUAUCAUAAAGCACUUUUGUAGAUCUUCCCCGUGGUCAUUAGAGGUGACAUCUAAUAUUUUUUUUCCCCUCUUGUUCUACAAGCUAUUUGAAGAAAAAUGUUCCGCUCUAAGUCAGAUUCCUCCGCGUGACGAUGAUGAUGAUGGCGACGAUGAUAACGAUGAUGCUGGAUUGGUGAGGCGAAAUAUGUAUCGGAGAAAAAAGAAGAGAAGAGUUGAUGGAGAUGAAAGCUUUUGUGGAGAAAGAAGAUGAGUUGAUGUAUCUUAGUUUUUUUUAAAAUUUAACUCCUUGUUUAACUUCUUGGAUUAUUAGACUUUAUAAAUAUUUGAGUGUUGAACUUGUAUAAUAUUUUGGAGUCGUUUGAAGAAGAUGUUGAGAACUUUGAAUUUGUUGUAUUGUGAUUUGAUUUCAAUUAUUAA
This is a long non-coding RNA of Zingiber officinale, 534 nucleotides long. RefSeq lists it as uncharacterized. The record is from RefSeq and is a predicted model, not a curated record. NCBI's taxonomy places the organism in Eukaryota, Viridiplantae, Streptophyta, Magnoliopsida, Zingiberales, Zingiberaceae. The transcript is spliced from 6 exons.